RNAcentral lists this ribosomal RNA (573 nucleotides) under Hansenula anomala. RNAcentral describes it as "Wickerhamomyces anomalus partial large subunit ribosomal RNA". It matches the Rfam family "Eukaryotic large subunit ribosomal RNA", at positions 62 to 648 of the family's 3401-position model. Lineage: Eukaryota; Fungi; Ascomycota; Saccharomycetes; Phaffomycetales; Wickerhamomycetaceae. The record is from RNAcentral.
AAACCAACAGGGAUUGCCUCAGUAACGGCGAGUGAAGCGGCAAAAGCUCAAAUUUGAAAUCUAGCACCUUCGGUGUUCGAGUUGUAAUUUGAAGAUGGUAACCUUGGGUUUGGCUCUUGUCUAUGUUCCUUGGAACAGGACGUCAUAGAGGGUGAGAAUCCCGUCUGAUGAGAUGCCCAUUCCUAUGUAAGGUGCUAUCGAAGAGUCGAGUUGUUUGGGAAUGCAGCUCUAAGUGGGUGGUAAAUUCCAUCUAAAGCUAAAUAUUGGCGAGAGACCGAUAGCGAACAAGCACAGUGAUGGAAAGAUGAAAAGAACUUUGAAAAGAGAGUGAAAAAGUACGUGAAAUUGUUGAAAGGGAAGGGCAUUAGAUCAGACUUGGUGUUUUACGAUUAUCUUCUCUUCUUGAGUUGUGCACUCGUAUUUCACUGGGCCAGCAUCGAUUCGGAUGGCAAGAUAAUGGCAGUUGAAUGUGGCUUCACUUCGGUGGAGUGUUAUAGCUUCUGCUGAUAUUGCCUGUCUGGAUCGAGGGCUGCGUCUUUUGACUAGGAUGCUGGCGUAAUGAUCUAAUGCCGC